GGGUGAGUAACACGUGGGCAAUCUGCCCUUCACUCUGGGACAAGCCCUGGAAACGGGGUCUAAUACCGGAUAACACCGGCUUCCGCAUGGAAGCUGGUUGAAAGCUCCGGCGGUGAAGGAUGAGCCCGCGGCCUAUCAGCUUGUUGGUGGGGUAAUGGCCUACCAAGGCGACGACGGGUAGCCGGCCUGAGAGGGCGACCGGCCACACUGGGACUGAGACACGGCCCAGACUCCUACGGGAGGCAGCAGUGGGGAAUAUUGCACAAUGGGCGAAAGCCUGAUGCAGCGACGCCGCGUGAGGGAUGACGGCCUUCGGGUUGUAAACCUCUUUCAGCAGGGAAGAAGCGAAAGUGACGGUACCUGCAGAAGAAGCGCCGGCUAACUACGUGCCAGCAGCCGCGGUAAUACGUAGGGCGCAAGCGUUGUCCGGAAUUAUUGGGCGUAAAGAGCUCGUAGGCGGCUUGUCACGUCGGGUGUGAAAGCCCGGGGCUUAACCCCGGGUCUGCAUCCGAUACGGGCAGGCUAGAGUGUGGUAGGGGAGAUCGGAAUUCCUGGUGUAGCGGUGAAAUGCGCAGAUAUCAGGAGGAACACCGGUGGCGAAGGCGGAUCUCUGGGCCAUUACUGACGCUGAGGAGCGAAAGCGUGGGGAGCGAACAGGAUUAGAUACCCUGGUAGUCCACGCCGUAAACGUUGGGAACUA
This 700-nucleotide ribosomal RNA is filed under the name Streptomyces lateritius. Its description in RNAcentral is "bacterial SSU rRNA". It matches the Rfam family "Bacterial small subunit ribosomal RNA", at positions 104 to 818 of the family's 1533-position model. The record is from RNAcentral. Lineage: Bacteria; Bacillati; Actinomycetota; Actinomycetes; Kitasatosporales; Streptomycetaceae.